This 253-nucleotide ribosomal RNA is filed under the name uncultured bacterium. RNAcentral's name for it is "partial 16S ribosomal RNA". It matches the Rfam family "Bacterial small subunit ribosomal RNA", at positions 524 to 776 of the family's 1533-position model. The record is from RNAcentral.
UACCGAGGUCUCAAGCGUUGUUCGGAUUCAUUGGGCGUAAAGGGUGUGUAGGUGGCGCGCUAAGUCGGGUGUGAAAUUUCGGAGCUUAACUCCGAAACUGCAUUCGAUACUGGCGUGCUUGAGGACUGGAGAGGAGACUGGAAUUUACGGUGUAGCAGUGAAAUGCGUAGAUAUCGUAAGGAAGACCAGUGGCGAAGGCGGGUCUCUGGACAGUUCCUGACACUGAGACACGAAGGCCAGGGGAGCAAACGGG